UUACCUCAGGACUAGGCAGUCCUUCUGACAUUGCUGCCCACAUACUUGGAGGUGAUCUCACAGGAGUGGCCACAGCUGUGCUGCGGCAUCAAGGCUGAGUCUGAGCGCGCUGUGGAUUCCAGAGUGACACAGCGGUGUCAUUCUCGGUUCUCAUGACACAUUUCCCUUCACAGGUGAGGACUCAGUCAUGCUGCGGGUCAUGUUGACAAAGUUCUAGCAUCAGCCUUAUAUUUUGACUGGUGAAGAGAUGCCCAUCCCCCUGUGACAGCAGUUACCCAGUCCUCAAGCAUGUCCCAGACUGGAUAUCCAUCCUUCCUCAGUUUGUUAACACAGCCACAGUGUUUGGAGAGUUCUGCCCAUACCUCAGCAUGAAGCACCCAAAAUGGAUGGAACAAGUAGUAGAAAAUAAUAGACAUUUUCAACUGCAAUUCAGAUUCUGGAUGAAUUGUUUGUAAACAUCUCAUCUAGAAGUGUGAAGGGGCUGAGCUAGCAUCAUCAAAGAUGACAAAUUCUGACACGGCGCUCUGAGAUUUCAUG
RNAcentral lists this long non-coding RNA (537 nucleotides) under Chrysolophus pictus (golden pheasant). RNAcentral describes it as "lncRNA (ENSCPIG00010014455.1)". Lineage: Eukaryota; Metazoa; Chordata; Aves; Galliformes; Phasianidae. The record is from RNAcentral.